CAGAAAGAGCACCAGUGCCACCACCUGGAUGCAGGGAGAAUGAGGCAACACAUAAAAGAAAAGUCUACCUGUCCAAGGGAAUGAGAAAAGGAACCAACUAAGUUUUCUAAAUUAAGGAUAAAUCUAAUCCCUGAUGCUGCAUUAUGGCCAGAAAACCAAUGAACUUGGUGACAGUGAGAGAUAAAAGCGAGACAGAUAUGUGACACGUAGUAACGUGGGGAAACAUUUUCCCUUGCGACAGGAAGAACAGAAAAUCUUACCUCCUUGAAUCUUGAGAGUCUUUACCCAUGCCAAGAGGAAAAUUGACAAACCAAACUAAGUAGCAGUAAUUCAUCCUACUACCAACAGCCUGUACUUGUGACGUCUCCAGUGGAGAGCAGAUGCCCAGGAAGGAGCUCUACCCAGCAAGCUGAGGGUUCAAGAAUGCUUGUGUGGCUUUGAGAAAAUAAACCCCCAUCUGUAUUAGAAAUGCUUUGUAUUUCUCCAACACCGUUGUCCCAAAGGCUGAAUAAACACUCCUGUAUCCUCAGAGCACCCUGUGAAGUCCCUGGUGUGGUCUAGGAGGGUGUGGAAUUGAGUGGUGAUAGCCCAAGAUUAGCUCUCACCAGCAUUUAGGGAUU
This 620-nucleotide long non-coding RNA is filed under the name Homo sapiens (human). Its description in RNAcentral is "HSALNT0086296". Lineage: Eukaryota; Metazoa; Chordata; Mammalia; Primates; Hominidae. The record is from RNAcentral.